This 251-nucleotide ribosomal RNA is filed under the name uncultured prokaryote. RNAcentral describes it as "partial 16S rRNA". It matches the Rfam family "Bacterial small subunit ribosomal RNA", at positions 525 to 775 of the family's 1533-position model. The record is from RNAcentral.
ACGGAGGGUGCAAGCGUUAAUCGGAAUUACUGGGCGUAAAGCGCACGCAGGCGGUUUGUUAAGUCAGAUGUGAAAUCCCCGGGCUCAACCUGGGAACUGCAUCUGAUACUGGCAAGCUUGAGUCUCGUAGAGGGGGGUAGAAUUCCAGGUGGAGCGGCGCAAGGCGUAGGGAUGAGGAGGAGGGCCGGUGGCGAAGGCAGCCCCCAGGACGAAAACUGACGCUCCGGGGCGAAAGCGUCGGCAACAAACAU